AAAAAAAAAAAAAAAAAAACACAGCUGUUUAAGGCCAAGGGCGUUUAUAAGCGAUCAUGACCCAGGGUGCCACUAGCUGUUGCAAGGCCCUUGACAUGGGGAAAGCAGGCUGUCUUGUUCACACUGAUUUCCCUAAGGCUCACUCCAGUUGGUUAGGGACCUGUUCUGUCCUUUGGCGUCCUCCAGGCCUGACUGGCAGUAACUAUUUGGGCCCUAUUUGGAUUCGAUGCCUCUGCGCACCAGCAGACAACGCUGGCAGCUCAGGCUCUGCAGGGCCCCGGCUCGAGCGGCGAGGCUUCCGGACCGGCGCCCCGGGCUGGGCGGGGU
Molecule: long non-coding RNA, 327 nt
Filed under: Fukomys damarensis (Damara mole-rat)
Lineage: Eukaryota; Metazoa; Chordata; Mammalia; Rodentia; Bathyergidae
Description: lncRNA (ENSFDAG00000021910.1)
Source: RNAcentral